UUCUUUCUAUGCAUUUUCUCUCUUGAAUCUGCCAUUAGACAUCCUAUCUAAUGUACGUUCAGUCUGCAGCCAAAGUAUAAUAUAUAUGAGGAGGAUGACAAGUGGUAGUAUAUGUAAUAUAAGCUGGGCCUCAUGCUGCUUCUGCUAUACGAGUUAGCACCGACUUCGGAGCGGCGUGUCACCUUUGGGAUGAAGUUCAUCUAAGUUCCUUGGCAAGGAGGGC
This 223-nucleotide long non-coding RNA is filed under the name Elaeis guineensis (African oil palm). Its description in RNAcentral is "long non-coding RNA (EGUI_LNC006043)". Lineage: Eukaryota; Viridiplantae; Streptophyta; Magnoliopsida; Arecales; Arecaceae. The record is from RNAcentral.